This 178-nucleotide ribosomal RNA is filed under the name uncultured bacterium. Its description in RNAcentral is "partial 16S ribosomal RNA". It matches the Rfam family "Bacterial small subunit ribosomal RNA", at positions 1321 to 1500 of the family's 1533-position model. The record is from RNAcentral.
UGAAGCCGGAAUUGCUAGUAAUGGCAGGUCAGCAUACUGCCGUGAAUACGUUCCCGGGCCUUGUACACACCGCCCGUCACACCAUGAGAGUUGGAGAUACCCGAAGCCUGUGAGCUAACAAACGAGGCAGCAGUCGAAGGUAGAAUCAAUGAUUGGGGUGAAGUCGUAACAAGGUACC